AUUGAUAAACCGAACGAGCAGCCGUCCACCUUAAAGGAGGGCGCCUCCUCACCACCUGGUUAAAAUUCCUCCUCCUCCUCUCCCCACCUCCCUACAUCCAUUUUGCUCUGUGCUGUUUAAACAAUACUUCAUCAAAUGCAGCCCGGAGCAAAUAAGAAAGCUCAGUAGAGUAAAUAAAAAGUCAAAAAAAAAAUCACCGGCUGGAGGACACUGAGGCAUCCAAGAUAAAGACAACAGAGGUUUGGUGUCUGGUGAGGACCACUCUCUGCUUCCAAGAUGGCACAUUUUGGCUCCAUCUUCAUGAGUGGAGGAAGGAGCCCUGAGAUGACAAUCCACUGGUCAUGAGCAUCCCAUAGGGCAGAGGCUGGAAGGGCAAGUGAGCCUCACACUGAGUGAAGCCUUAAUCCCACUUGUGAAGGAGGAGAAUCACCUCUUAACACUACCACAUUGACAAUACUUAAAUUUUGGAGGAAAUACAUGCAAACCAUAGGGACAAUGAAAAGACCUAGCAAUGGAUGGUGGUGAUGGUUGUGCAACAUUGUGAAAAUAUUUAAAGACACUAGCUAUAUACUUUGUGAUGGUUUAAAUGGUAAAUUUUAACCACUUUUAUUUAUAUUUAACAUGCAUAUUUACAUAUAUGCAUAUUUUACCACACUAAAAUAAAAUAUUAAGUGAGGAUUUUGACUACAUAAUGGGGGGGGGUCAGCUAGUAUCACCCAAACCCUGAUCAAUCAAUAAAAAUGGAAACAAGACACUUCUGUGCCUCUCAAAGUAGUGCAACCAAUACAUAAUCACCUCUCCAAAGUUGUCUUACCCUAAAAGUCCUGAAUGUAAAAUAGUCACUGGAUUCAAACACUGGUUUAUCUUAUGGAAUAAGAGGACAAAUUGUGGCACAUCAGCUAGAAACAACUAGCAAAACUCAGACUAUGGAACAUUUCACAUUUUCUUUAAGAUACAAGUGGAUUUUUUAAAUGGGAACACAGGGGUGGGAAGUAUUUAAUAAAAUAUCAAAUCUGAUAUUUGUUCAGCUACUUAUGCAGACCAACCAUCUACAAAACAAAUUUUUGAGGCAGCUGGGGAAAUUUAAAUAUAGAGGGAUAGGAGAGCAUUUGUUUUACUUUCGUUUAAUUUUGUUUACUGUUAAUGGCAUACUGGUUAUAUUGAAGAGGAAGAAAAUUAUUUUUAGCUACAGUAUUUCUAUGUGAAAAGACUUAAUAUCUGGCAUAUGCUACAAAAUACUCUAUCAUAAUAAAACAGUAAUAGUAUUAAUAGUAAUAACAAGUGUAACUGCUGACUGAUAUGUAAUGUUCUAUUGACUUCAUAUUGUUUAGAAGGAUUAAGAAACAAGUUUUUGUUAAUAUAAACAUGUUACAUGUAAUUUAAGGACGUUAAAUGUGAAGGGUAGCCACUAAACAAGCAGAAAUAACACAUACAACUUCCAAAUCUUGAUUAAUCCAAUGUAGGAUGUUAGAAAAAGCAUCAGAAGUAAACCCAAGUAGAUGAGAAUCUCAAGUAAAGGAUCUAAGAAGGAAUUAUUCCAUAUGUAAACUGUUACACAAUAAUCAACUUGACUUUGAACUAGAAACAUUCCACAAGGGCAGCAAUAAUUUAUGAGGAACUGAGCUGGCCCUUGCUCUGAUGGUUCUUCAUUGGCCGUGGGCCAUGAGAUGUCCCUGAAUCACGGAUCAAGAGUUUUCCACUUUGGAGCCACCAAGUUCUGUGCAGAGCAGGUGUAGAUGGUGUUUGCUGGUGCAGAUUAUAAAAACAACAAAGACAUAUGGUUUAGGAGGUACCAUUUGAAGCUAUAGUAUUAAGAUUGUAGACUAUAUUGUUGUUUUACAAGUUCUCACUGGCCACAUAGAAAUGGGAAAGGCUCAAAUAUCCAGACCUGUGCUGGAGGACUGAAUAGAUGCUUCAAUUCAUCCUCAGAAAAAGAAGCAGGAAGGGGAGAUGGCACUGUGAACAAAAGCACAUAAUAAUUCUGGACAACCAUCUACCUAGGAGGUUGUAAGCAAAACUUAUGUUGGGAGAGAGAAUGAUUUCAGGCCCUGAGGCCAGGAAGUCUCUGGAACAUGGGACUUUAUCUCAGGAAACCAAUCCCCUUUGCCUGAGAGUCCGUGGGUUCCAAGGACACAGGGCUUUCUGUGUUAACACAGACAAUCUGGGGCAAUAUAGGUCAAGUUGGUCACCUACUGGUGGCCUUGAAUUCAGAUGCAUGAUAACACUGGCUCCGUCACACAUUUGGAGUUCAGUGGCACCUCGGAUCACAAACUAUUUGUUCCACGAUUUUGGAAAAGAUGGCCACGUUUAUGUUUGUUGGGAAAGGUGACUGCAGUCAUGUUUGUCACAUUACUCAUAGAGUUUGCAGACAAAAACAAAAUUUUCCAAAUGCUUCUGCUUGUGAACCAAAUUGUUCACAAACAAAAGUGUCCGGGAAUGGAUGUACUACUGUACUGGAUGUGGGUACAACCCAAAUGAAAUGAAAGCUUACUUUCACAAAACAUAUUUAACUGCCUCUACAGAGAAAAUUCUGGGAUAAAUAAUAUUUUUAAAUAAAUGAAAAGAUCACUCUUGAAACUGAAUCCUUCUUCCAAAACUGGGAUGUAUUUUUAAUUGAAGAAUACUCCCAGAACUGAGGUCAGGCCUAAUGUGCAUACUUUUUCUUUGCUUCCCUGAUCAUGCCCACUAUUAAGAGAAAAAUCUUACAGAAAAACUGCCAGCUUAAAUCCUAUAACCGUGGGUCCAUCUCAUGAAUUAAGACCAAGACUUGGCAAAUGUGCUGAGUGAGGGAGAACAAUUACCAAGUUCAUGGCUCCAGGUUCUGUUUACCCUGAUACUGUCUAGGCUAAUCAUUUAUUUCUUGCUGCCUUCUAAGUUUUAUUAAGCUGUUCAGAAAAGUUUCAGCCAUGCUUUAUGGCUAUGUGAACUGCCUGUGUAUCCAUUUCACAAUUUGAUUCAUUCUGAUUAAAUUGUUCAACUGUUAAUGAGUUUUAGAUUGCAAUAUGGAGAGGCAAACAAUUCAGAACAUUAAGGCAGUAAAAUAUCUUAAUAUUUCAAAGUUCUCAUUGAAAACAUAAAACAAAAGGCUCAUUUCUGGGAGGAGAGACUGUAAUAAUUACCCUCUGUAAAAAUAAAUGUACUUGGCUGCCUAUACAUUCUCCGGGCAUCUGUGUAGUCACAUUCACAUGUACAGACCUGCUGGUACAUAGUAAUCUCAUAAAUAUCCAGAGAAAUUCUGAUAUUUUCCAGCCAAUUUCAACAGAUGAGAUAAUCAUUUUGACAUUAUUACUCCAAAGAAUUUCUGGAGCUAGACAAAAAAUUGAUUCUUACUCAACUUCCUCCACAGUCUAAUGAAUUCCACACGGUGAGAUGCUGAAGUAUCUCAGGCACUGAGGGCUUAGGAGAUGGAUUAGAAUCCAGUCAGGAGACCAGAUGCUGUUCUUUUUCAGUGAACCUUCUCCUCCUCCCUCUGCAACUCCUGAAGGUUCCUGGCCCAACAUCCAUUUCUUGGUGACAGUGUUUGUUUUGACAGUAAUUGAGUAAAGAUUCACUGGACUCAUUCACCCUUUAAACAUUUUCCCUUGGAACUUCCUCCCUCUUGCAAAUUCUGGGAAUAUAAAUGCAUAGAAAUAGAUGCCUCCAAAUUACUGAAGGUCAUGAGAUAGCAUGGUCACCUGGACUCUGGGGGAAAAUUCAAUUGCUUCAUUUAUAAAAUAGAAAUUAAAAUCCAUUUUCAGCCUGGAGCAAAGUGCUCAAACUGAUGAUUUCUUCUGUUCUUUCCAGCUCCAGAAGCCAUACCUGGAUAGAUACAUGACUUCGUUUCAAAUCAAACUUUCAUUUGAGCAGCUUUUUAAAUUCAGAAAAAGAAGAAUUUGUGUUUGAUUAUGAAGACAGGAGAGGUCUUUGCACACAUUUAUUAAAGCAAAGAUGCAGUGUUUAGAAAACUGGAAAAGAGUAUGCCUUAUAACCAUAGAGUAUGAGAAACAAUAGGGUCCUCUGAGGCUAACAAGCCCAAUGAUACUGACAGCCAGACUGGCCAGAGUGGGAGUAGGGAUAAAGAACAGCUCUUGAGAGGUGGAAUUCACAGCCCAGAUCUGGAAUCUGAGCAUCCCAGCACUCUCUUGCUCACAGGACUUCUAUGGUUUGGGCAGUAUGUUGCACCACUCUACCUCACCUGAAGCUGUCUUUGUCUGACUUUGUUUCCCUUAUUACUUUAAAGAAUUCAUCAAAGAGAAUACACUUUCUUGAUGGUAUAUAUUCUAGGAGAGCGCAGGAGAGGGAUGAAGAAGAAACAAGUUCUCCAUCUGAAAAGAAAGUAAACAUCUGCCGAGCACUAAACUUCACUGCUCUUGAACUCAACAAUUCUUUUCUGCCUCUUCAUUCCAUACAAUCCAAAAGGCAUAACCUGAAAAGGGAUGUCACAGAAAGACGUACUGAAAAUCACAAAUGAAAAAGGCUCAAUAGUUAAUCAGCAGUUUUCUGCUAUCCUUUCUUCAACAAGUACAAAAUAAACAAGUCGAGAAGUUAUUCUAUCUUUCUGACUAUAAGCAAUGUGGUGAAUUAAUGUUCCUAAAUGCUAGCACUGGAUAAAUGAAUUCAUUGUUGAGAAAGUUCUGGAUGAGCCAGUAGUCAAGGAUUAUUAACUCCAUUAUAGAUCCCUGUGUGUGUCUGCUCGAAGGCAGAGUUGGAAGAGGAGCACUUCUAUGAAGGAGUCCACUACAUGUACGUGCUUUUGUAAAAUAUUGCAUUUCAAACUAAGUAUUUACUAUCUUUUUCUUAAAGAACUCAAAAUUAUCCAAGAUACGCAAAAGGAAAAAACACAAGGGCAUAUAAGUGCUUACAACUACCCAAUGAAUUUUGGCAGACUAAGUAGCCACCUGGAACAUAACCAGGAGGCAUUCCUUGGAAAGACUCUUCAGGGUUACUGUCCAACAUAGGACAGACAGUGAGGAGUUUCUAAAUGCCCUUUGCAAGACUUUUGAAAAGCUCUGGAUCCACGUAAGAUAUAGGAGAUCUGUAAUAUUUUCAUUACUGCCCUCAAUGCAUUUCCAGAGUCAUUAAUUCAUGUGCAGCACUUCAUCAAAUCGGAUCCUCUUUGUAAAUCCUUUUUUUCCUUUACCUGAACCUCAGUGCAUUUUGUGCUGACUGCUCACAGUAGCGCAGAAAACAAACAGAAAGUACUGCCUGCCUCUGGUCUGCAGCAAGCCUCUCUAUUUGCUGGUUUAAUCCUCCAGACUUUACCCUUUUCCAUUUGGUCCUUCACAUCAUCUCAGGCUAAUCUGUCAAGCAUUUUAGACAGCCAAGCCAAUCUGCAAUUGCUGAGGACUUUGCCACAAGCACCAGGUCUGUUAAUAAGAUUUUCAUUUGGAAAGAUGCCAGGGCAUCCAUGUUUUCUAUCGUAUAUAAAUACUAAGAUUCAAUAGCUUCAGGUUUUGUUUAAUGUUAAUGUCAACUAUUAAAAAAAAAAGGGAGGAGGUUCUCAAAUGCCUGGUCCAACAGUGAAAUCCCCCCACUGACAGCUAUUUGCAAGGGUAAUGUUGUGGAAAACAACAUCCAUCUUGGAAACAGUUUCAUUAGCCCCAUCUAGCUGACCUCUCCACAUAAUGUUGUCAAAUGUGACGGGCAUCCGAUUAUUGGGAAUAUGGAGAUCAAUAAAUAUGCAACACCAGCGCUUAGAAUGCUUCUGGCACCAGAGCCAUACAAAUGCCAUCUAACAUGGCUCAGAGUCGCUGUCAUCUGUCAUACCAGCUAGUAAAUAGACAAGCUUAAGGGGAAGGCUAUCAGUAAUGGUAAAAUAUAUGGGUGAAGAUGAAUUAGACAGGGAGUGUGUAGUCAGGGUUCUGAUGCAUAAAGGUUCCAAAUGAAAAACAACAGGCAAACAUUCUGGAGCAAUAGCCUGCUUUCUUCAGGGAAUAGAUGGGAAUUCUUGCCACAUGGUCAAAAUCUGCUCUGUGGGCCCCUCUCUAUGUUUUCCAUGUUGGCUUUUAGAGAAUUAGGUCUGCUUCCAGGACCCUUGCUAGGUGCUUGGAGUUUCUCAAGUGAAUUUCUGCACAAUACCAAGGGGCCAGAGCACAUAUUCCCCUUAAGUCCCUGUAUGCACCAACUACACAAUGUAGCUUUUCACAUGAUGGCUACCCAGGGCCAAAAGAAGUGACUGCAUUGUCCACUUACUCCAGUCUCAAGGACCUCCAACCUUUGGGCCUACAAACAAGCUAUUUGGUGGAGGUGCUAAAGGAAACUUCAAUUCGAGCUAGUGAUCAUCCAAGUCCCCAGAAAUACAGACCUUUGAGAACCACAGUGGAUGGCAACUUCUGUACCAAGCCACCCCCUUCUACGAUCACUGGAGCUGCCUCCCAGUCUGCCAGACACACAGUACCACUGCCCACUGUACCCACCACUGCCUGAAGCUCUAGGUCCUUGCUCAGCCCCCAGCAGUUUUCUCAGCCUCCCUUCCCCAAAAAGACACCACUGCCUGGCUGACCCAUUUUCGUAAACCCUCCUUUCCCUUCCAGAAGGGCUUAGAUUCAGCCAAGUCUACCUUUCAGUUAAAGGAACCUAAAGCAAAGCCAAUCCCAA
Molecule: long non-coding RNA, 6576 nt
Organism: Heterocephalus glaber (naked mole-rat)
Lineage: Eukaryota; Metazoa; Chordata; Mammalia; Rodentia; Bathyergidae
Source: RefSeq, a predicted model, not a curated record